UGCGUAGGCGGGUCUUUAAGUCAGGGGUGAAAUCCUGGAGCUCAACUCCAGAACUGCCUUUGAUACUGAAGAUCUUGAGUCCGGGAGAGGUGAGUGGAACUGCGAGUGUAGAGGUGAAAUUCGUAGAUAUUCGCAAGAACACCAGUGGCGAAGGCGGCUCACUGGCCCGGUACUGACGCUGAGGCACGAAAGCUGGGGAGCAAACA
This 206-nucleotide ribosomal RNA is filed under the name uncultured bacterium. RNAcentral's name for it is "partial 16S ribosomal RNA". It matches the Rfam family "Bacterial small subunit ribosomal RNA", at positions 568 to 774 of the family's 1533-position model. The record is from RNAcentral.